RNAcentral lists this long non-coding RNA (1325 nucleotides) under Amborella trichopoda. RNAcentral describes it as "long non-coding RNA (ATRI_LNC000561)". The record is from RNAcentral. Lineage: Eukaryota; Viridiplantae; Streptophyta; Magnoliopsida; Amborellales; Amborellaceae.
AAAUUUUUGUAUUAUUGGAGGUCUAGUGGACCAAGUGGGGUACCCCCAACAUCAAAAGAAACCAUAGAAAUUGACAAAGACGAGAGCAUGGAAUCAUGGCUUAUUAGAUUAAAAGAGUUCAGAAGCACUCCCAUGCGCCUCUCAUCACAUCUUCCCUUUGUUUUGAGUACUUUUUUUUUUUAAAUAAAGCGACGAGGAAUAGAAGGUGGUGUAAUUAAAUAUUUGGGAUAUUCUCCCCAUGUGGGAAACCCUGGUUUCUUUUUCCCUGAGGGAAAAUGGAGGGUGAAAGAGCAGAGGAGGUGUUAGAAUCUCUAGUAGGUUGAGACUCUAGAGAGAGAUUGGCUAGGACAUCUAGUUGGUAGAGAGAGAAUCUCUAGUAGUUAGAACGGCUGCCCUUUAAGGUAGAGAGAGAGAGGGAGCAUCUCUUGCAGUAGAGAGAGAGAGCAUUUCUCGAAGUAGAGAGAGAAGCUCUGGUCGUUUGAAGAACGGGUGCCUUUUAGGUUGAGAGAGAGAGAGAGAGAGAGAGAGAGAGAGAGAGAGACAANNNNNNNNNNNNNNNNNNNNGUACGUACGUGAGAGAGAGAGAGUAGUACGUAGUACGUAGUAGAGAGAGAGUAGUACGUACGUCGUACGUACGGUAGUACGGUACGUACGUAGUAGUAGAGAGAGAGAGAGAGAGAGAGAGAGAGAGAGACAAAGAUCUCUUGAAGUCGAUGCUUACUGGGUGAGAUCUUGUAGAGAGAGAAAUUUGAUAUUUGGGGUGGUCAGGGCAGACAGAGAUGGAAAAUGUGAAGAUGUAAGGCGAAGAAGUCUGAAACCAUGACGGAUUUUGCCGCCGCGUAAAUUGGGGAAAUGGCUUUUAUGGGCGCAAGUGGAGUGCGAUCUCCAGGCCGCUUUUUAACAGGAACUAUGGGAAAUAAAUGGCAUCUGAGUGGGACUUAAUAUCGAAGGUGUCCCCUUUGUAAAAUAUCCUUCGCUGACGGUAUCACACGCGUUUGCGAUCACUCCGGGUGUUCAACUGUCGUUUUCAGGUGCGGGAGGACUGAGAGAACAAACAGAUCUCUCUCUCUCUCUCUAAGUUGUAGGCAUCUGAUAUUUGUACAAGGCACGCUACUUUUGUCCAUGAGGCCUCCUUUUUAAUGUUUCGACGAUAUUUCUGCUUCUCACACACCGACACUGUUCUACAAUUCUAAACAAUCCUUGAAAUUUGCCUUUCUUCUGGCUUACCCUACUUAAUUUCAAACGUCUUGAAUCGCCGAGUUUUAGUCUCUAUUCUGUGAUUUAUUUCUUAGAUGUAGCCCAGUCCAGUUCGUUCUACUUCGAGA